GAUGAACGCUGACAGAAUGCUUAACACAUGCAAGUCUUUGGCGAAGCUGUGCUUGCACAGCCUAGCCAAGGCGGACGGGUGAGUAACGCGUAAGGAACUUGCCCUGCAGUCAGGGAUAACAGACGGAAACGACUGAUAAGACCUGGUAAAGUCAGGCGGACUCAUGUCCAGCCUGAUGAAAAGAGAUGCUGCAGGAGAGCCUUGCGUCCUAUUAGCUUGUUGGUGGGGUAACGGCCCACCAAGGCGAUGAUAGGUAGCCGGCCUGAGAGGGUGGACGGCCCCGAGGGCUACGGGAGACGGCAGUUACUACUCUUGGACGAUGCAGGGGGGAAUAGUGGAGAAAGGGGGCAUCACUGAUGAAGCACUUCUGUGUGUAAGAUGAAGUUUUUCGGAAUGUAAAGAGCUGUCAGCAGGGAAGAAAAAAAUGACGGUACCUGCAGAAGAAGCGACGGCUAACUACGUG
This 463-nucleotide ribosomal RNA is filed under the name uncultured bacterium. RNAcentral's name for it is "partial 16S ribosomal RNA". It matches the Rfam family "Bacterial small subunit ribosomal RNA", at positions 28 to 507 of the family's 1533-position model. The record is from RNAcentral.